Molecule: ribosomal RNA, 451 nt
Filed under: uncultured bacterium
Lineage: Bacteria
Description: bacterial SSU rRNA
Rfam family: Bacterial small subunit ribosomal RNA
Source: RNAcentral
AGCGAACGCUGGCGGCAGGCUUAACACAUGCAAGUCGAGCGCCCGUAGCAAUACGGGAGCGGCAGACGGGUGAGUAACACGUGGGAACGUGCCUUUUGGUUCGGAACAACUGAGGGAAACUUCAGCUAAUACCGGAUAAGCCCUUACGGGGAAAGAUUUAUCGCCAAAAGAUCGGCCUGCGUCUGAUUAGCUAGUUGGUGGGGUAAUGGCCCACCAAGGCUACGAUCAGUAGCUGGCUGAGGGGAUGAUCAGCCACACUGGGACUGAGACACGGCCCAGACUCCUACGGGAGGCAGCAGUGGGGAAUCUUGGACAAUGGGCGCAAGCCUGAUCCAGCCAUGCCGCGUGAGUGAUGAAGGCCUUAGGGUUGUAAAGCUCUUUCAGCGGGGAAGAUAAUGACGGUACCCGCAGAAGAAGCCCCGGCUAACUUCGUGCCAGCAGCCGCGGCAAU